GCCAGGCGUUGUGGCAGGCGCCUGUGAUCCUAGCUACUCGGGAGGCUGAGGCAGAAGACUUGCUUGAGCCCAGGAGUUGGAGGUUGCUGUGAGCUGUGAUGCCACAGCAUCCUACUCAGGGGGACAGCUUGAUUCUCCUGUUUCAAAAAAAAAAAAAGAAAGAAAGAAAGAAACAGAGUCUCACUUUAUUGCCCUCGGUAGAGUACCAUGGCAUCACAGCUCACAGCAACCUCCAACUCCUGGGCUUAAGCAAUUCUCUUGCC
RNAcentral lists this small RNA (263 nucleotides) under Otolemur garnettii (small-eared galago). RNAcentral's name for it is "Metazoan signal recognition particle RNA (ENSOGAG00000024727.1)". The record is from RNAcentral. Lineage: Eukaryota; Metazoa; Chordata; Mammalia; Primates; Galagidae.